Myiozetetes cayanensis is the source of this 141-nucleotide long non-coding RNA. RefSeq lists it as uncharacterized. The record is from RefSeq and is a predicted model, not a curated record. NCBI's taxonomy places the organism in Eukaryota, Metazoa, Chordata, Aves, Passeriformes, Tyrannidae. The transcript is spliced from 3 exons.
GGUCACUCAGGACAGGGUCACUCAGGUCACUCAGGCCAGGUCACUCAGGUCACUCAGGUCACUCAGGGUCACUCAUGGCAGGGUCACUCAGGUCACUCAGGGUCACUCAGGCCACUCAGGGUCACUCAGGACAGGUCACUC